Molecule: long non-coding RNA, 5267 nt
Filed under: Homo sapiens (human)
Lineage: Eukaryota; Metazoa; Chordata; Mammalia; Primates; Hominidae
Description: non-protein coding POC1B-AS1:40
Source: RNAcentral
AGAGCGGCAGCGCCUCCCGGUCACUACAACAACGGCGGCCCAGUCAAACCCCGCGCUCCAGGCAUGGCCAGCCGAGCCCCGAGACACCGCCAGCCCUGUAAAGAGAGGACGGGAGGUAUGCGCCGGGUCAGCUGUGGCCACACACCAAGCCAUGUUAACUAACACUCGCGUUCUCCCUGGUUUGAUGUCAGGAAGUGGGGUAGUAACCAGGACUGGAAUAAGAGCGAUGAAUGGAAGGGCGUUGUGAGCCUGUGAUCGAUGCGAUCAGAGUUCUAUUACGUUUUAAAGAGACAGCACCCGUGACGUUUAAGGUAUUUCACCCCAAUAAUAAAAUAAUAAUGCCAGAAGCUGAAGAGUAAUCAGGACCUCAGGAUUACUCAUAGAUAACACAAGUGUGAAGAGAGGGGAGAGCAGCAAAGGCUGAGCUGCGUGUGCCUGGUCCCUUCCAGACUUUCCAGAUAACUUUGCCCCACGGAGGACAAGGAAAGCCAAAAGAGAGAAGCCAGGAUUGUUAGUCUUGGAAAAUGCCUCCAUAUAGAAACAUGAGCCGGAGAAUAAAUCACUUGCCUCUCUAACCAGUUGGAUUUGGUCCGUGAGUUCCUAGUUUUGUUCACCUGACUUAGUCCCUGACUUUUAAAGUCAAGUGCAUCAACAUGCUGCCAGUACUUUGAUGAACAUCUAUACAGGAUCCAUCUCUACAGCAGUGAAUUCCACCUGGGGUAAAGUAUGCAUGUAGGUUAGGAUGCUACAGUGGGACUCUGUCUGCUUUUUCUGUCUGUUUCUGCUAAGGCCUCCACACAUUAGAUGGUCAGUACUCUUUGUUCUAUGGGAAGGGCUAGAAUACCUAAACAGGACUUUCACGGAGGGAGCAACAAACCAGUUUUGUGGCUCUCAGCAAACAUCCAUCUCAAAGGUGAGUUUGGAAAUAAUGGAGAGUAUGUCAGUGUGUUUGUGUCUCAGGCCUACUUCCCACGCCUAUGGGGGAAGGGUGGGACUUAUCUCUCUCUUCCCUCAAGCCUGCUAAGAGGAGAUUAGACUAUAUUUGAGAUAAAUACCUCCAGCACAGUGACAGCCAUGCAGCUCAUGCCUGUGAAAUCAAAAGGCAAGAGGAUGCGGCUGGCUGGCUGCUCUGAGGGCAGAGAGAAAAGACCAGACAGCUCUUGGAACAGACUGUUCUUCCAGUGACGAUGGGGACAAAGAUGCAUGAGUGUAUCUCCAGGACUGGAUGUGAGCUGCAUGGGAGAAAAAGAGUGCAGGCCUGCAGCCCGGGAAAACCCAAAAGGAUGCCAUAAACCCAACAGGAAGAUGGGUUGUCAGGGCCCCAGGAGCUGAGAAAGGAAUAAAAAUGACAGAGAGAGAAAAGUACAUUGUCCACAUCAUAAAUAACACAGCUGAAUGUGCCCAAUGAGGUCCUCAGAGAACCCACAGAAGUGCCCAUGGGAACAGUUCUCUCUGGGACUCAAACCCAGGGAGAGGUGCUUUUAAACAUGCAAAGAGAGGGAACCAUCAUCAUAUUACAUUGCAGUGUCCACAUGAAUAAGACCCUAACUUACCUCAUAUUUCUCCUCCUUCCUCUGCUUUAAUCCAGGAGGAGCCAGAGACCUCUCAGUAAGUGAAGAAGAGGGGAAAUAGGUAAAAAGCCACUAUUCCCCAUGUUAGAUGAGGAAAUAGGAACAUUCUCCUCCUCUACCCAACACCCACUGUAGCUUUUAGUGGCUGGAGUCAGGAGAGAAAAGUUUUCAUGUUAAAUGAAUUUCAGAGGUUUGACUAUGACAUAGAAAUGGAUAUUUUAAUUACUGAAAUAAAACUGUUUUGUAAUUAGAGGUGACUGGAAGACAUUUUAUCCUCAGCAGAAGAAUAGAUAAGGAUAGGACCUUCCCUCCCCCUUGGACCCCACCAAGGUUUUAUCCAGAGGCAGAGGAAGAAGUAACCCUUUAUGUGAGUUUGAAUGGGCAGAAGAAGAAAAGGAUGAAGUUGUCUUCUAAUUGCACUCUAUGAAUGUUGCUUUUUUGUUAACAUAAAUGUCACAUAUAUUUUUAGCUGGUGUAACAAAAAAAAAAACAUCUCAAGCCGGCUUGCAUAAUAACAGCUUUGGGCACAGUCUGAUCAAGGCCCCGGUUCUGUUUGCUAGUGAUCCUCCUGAUUCUGCCCUCUCUCCAUGCUAGUUUCUUCCUCAGAUUGACAUUCCUCUUGGUCACCAGAUGCCUACAAUCAGCGGGUGCAACUCUCUGCUCCCUGCUCACUUCUGAAGGGGAGAGCAUGGAUACCAACCACAGAACAAAGCCCUGCAGUCUCCCGCUGAGUAGAACACCCACGAAGAAGUGUUGGCCAUUUCCCUAUUGCCAGGGAAAUAUCAUGUAUUGGUUGGAUUAGGCCUGUAUUAAUCCAGUUAAUGGAACAUAGUUAAACUAUCCCAGACCCUCCAUAGACACUAGAGAAAAGGUGAAUCCAACCCAAAUGUAAGACUGCUACUCAAUAGGACAGAAAAGGCAUGGAUGUCAGUGAAAUGGGAAAAAAAAUGUGUGCCAAAGGAGAUCAGGAAGGACUGAAUAGAAGACAUGGCCUUUGAAUUGAAGCCUUUAAUGAGGAAAGGGGAUUGACAUUGUAUGAGGGCCAGGGUGGAGAGCGGGUUGUGAAGAGGAUAGGGAAAAUGCAAGGACACUGCGGAUAUAAGAAUUAAUGGGAGAAUCAUGGGCCACAAAGCAGCAGGAUUAUAUUACAGAGAUUGUAAGUAGUGUUUAUUGAAGCACAGGGUACUGGGGAGGUGGAGGAAAGAUGAAACUGUUAAGGAAUUUAGACACAGCAUGUAGUGGUUGGCAGGAAACAGAUGACACUCUCAAACAGGGUAGUUGAGGAGAGCUAAUAAAGGGACCAUUUACCAAGGUGUAGUUAGGAUUAAGAGAAAGCAAACUGGGAUGGUGCUGUGCUAUGGGCUAGCAACAGCAGGAAGUCAUUUCUGUCCCUAGGUCUGAAGAGGGAAGCAGGGGAGCCAACACCAAGGAACCAGAGAUCUUAGAGUCUGAAAGUCUGCAUGAUAGAAGCCAUGGCCUUUAGUAGAGGGAUCUUGCCUACUCUUAGCAGCCUGGCUUGGAGGGGCCUGGGGAAAUAAUACCCCAACCUCUCUCCUCUUCUUCAAUAUUGAUGACUUCCAUUGGUUAAUAUCAAACUGGAAGUUGGAGAGAAAGGGAGUCUAUCUAUACAAGUCAGCACCCUGUAGCCCAGAAGAGAGUAAAAAGGGGGUAAAAAGCAAUUUCCGAGGGACAAACAGAAAACACCCAGCACAGAAGGAGGAACAAACAUUUGGAGGAACAAACAGAAAAUAUCAGAAAACAUUUUAAUCCUGGGUCCUGGGACGUCAUGGAAGGUUUUGAAGUUAGGAGCACCGCCAUCCUCUAGGGGGAGCUCAAGCAUUUCUCUCCACUCAUCCCAAAGGCGGUGCAUCAAAAGAUCAGGGUGAAACUGACUUCAAGGAAAGAGCCCUCGGCUAGAGGAAGAAGCCUGGAGAAGUAAAGGGAUUGCUCCUGGAAUUGGAAAUCUACCCUUUGCACUUCUAUUUACUGCAUUUGGAUUGAUUUGCAAGAAUAACCAUUAAAAUAAUCAAAGCUAAAAGUAAGUAUGUACUGUGUGCCAAGUUCUUGACUCAUUUGGCACAACUCUUCGGAGGUAAGCACCAUUGAAAUUCUCACCUUCUAGAUUAAGAGGCUGAUAGAACCUGGAUUUGAGCCCAUUGACAAAGGACCACUCUCUGCUCUGUUCUGUUCUCAUGCUGCUGGUUUAGUCAGCUGAGUCAAAGGUUGCCUUUGCUUAGAAGGCCUAACAAAACCAGAGCAGGGUCCAUGGAAAAGGAGACAUGAAAAGGGACAUAUUUCCUGGUAAGAUUUGUAUUCAUUUAACAAUUUUAAGCACAUAUUUAAUAACCAGGCACUCACUACCUGACAAGCUCUGAGCCAGGUGCAGGGUAUCCGAGGGAACUAGGAGAGAGGCACUAAGUGCUGUACUAAGAACCUGAAUGAGUGCAUUUGAGUCCUGGGUCUGCUACAUGUGUGACCUAGGAAAAGUCACUUAAAUCAUUUAACUGUCUCCUCAUCUUUAACAUAUAGAUGGUUAAAAAGUACACAGCACUUGGAAUAAUAAACGGGCAGAUUGUUAAUGUUGAAGGUGUGAGCUGCUGUUCUUACAACACAAUGUCAGCCCUUGAAGCUCUUACAGUAGAUGGAAAGAUGGAGAUGAGUAGGAUCUAAUUAUUGGCCAAGUGCAAAGGAGCUAAAAAGGCCACCCACGCUGCUACUUACUUCAGCAAUACCCAAGGAAACAAGGGCAAAAAAAGAGCUCUAGAGGCUCUUCUUGGUCUAGCCCUGCUUUUGAGUUUGGGGCCAAAGCUCUAAUUCACUCUAAUUCAGGGGUGUUAGCAAGGUUCUUGUCUGGCAUUCUAGCUCUGAACAGUUGAUACCAGCUUCCUGAACCAUGUGUUAAGAGAGAUCUCAGACUGCAUGUAGAGAACGUAUGCCUUGAGAGAUAAGUGAUGUCUGCCAUUGAUUGAGGGUGGAGAGGAGGAGCCAAGUGGUUCUAGAACAGUGUCCUUUUGCCUAGAAUGUCCCUACAGCAGGAGCAGCUGGGCAAGACUCAGAAGUCCUGAUUAUAAUCACAGAUUAAGGUGACCAACUAUCCCAGUUUGCCUAGGACUGUUCCAGUUUUAGAACUGAAAUUCCUGCAACCCAGAAAACCUCUCAAUCUUGGGCACAUCCCAAUCAGCUUUGCAGGCUUUCUCUAUCUGACAAUACCAAAAAAAAACAACAACUAUGAGCUCUGACUAGAAGAGAUUACUCUUUUUGUCUUGGCCAAUUUCAGCCUGUGAAAAUGCAUCUUAUUCUGGCCUGUAUGUGCCAGCCAUAUGCCCUCAAAUGUUCCCCCACUUCACAAUAGCUGACCUCCAUACCUCUCUCCUUUCUCAGCUAUUUUUCCUGCUGUAUCCACUGACGCCUUAGUAGGAAACAGAUGGCACCAUCAAAGGGUUUAGCUGAAGAGAAUUUCAUACAGGGAUUAUUUACAGAGGCGUGGGCAGGGUUAAUGGAACCAACAAGAGCUGGGGAGACAGUCAGGGAUUAGCUCUUACCACAGGAGGUCUGCAGGGACAAAGGGAGGGGAUGCUGUUACCAGCCUGGUAAGAGCUGAAACUGUGCAGGAGAGGUCACUGGGCCUGGGAGCUGGAGCCUCUGUCUCAUCUGCGGUGUGGCAGAGAGGAAAGAGGAGGAGGGCAUAAAAAUCCC